Non-coding RNA from Podarcis lilfordi (Lilford's wall lizard), 72 nucleotides. Lineage: Eukaryota; Metazoa; Chordata; Lepidosauria; Squamata; Lacertidae. The record is from the annotation of a GenBank genome assembly.
GGGGCAAUAGGUUAGCAGCACAGCAUCUGCCUUGAAAGCAGAAGGUCGCAGGUUCAAUCCCUGGCAUCUCCA